GACCUCGGGCAUACUGCUCAGUAACACGUGGAUAAUCUGCCCUCAGAAGAAGGAUAAUCCCGGGAAACUGGGGCUAAUGCUUCAUAGGAGACGGGUGCUGGAAUGCUCUGUCUCUGAAAGGUCCGCCGUCUGAGGAUGAGUCUGCGUCCGAUUAGGUUGUUGUUGGGGUAACGGCCCACCAAGCCUUUGAUCGGUACGGGUUGUGGGAGCAAGAGCCCGGAGAUGGAUUCUGAGACAUGAAUCCAGGCCCUACGGGGCGCAGCAGGCGCGAAAACUUUACAAUGCGAGCAAUCGUGAUAAGGAAACCCUGAGUGCCUGUCAACGCAGGCUGUUCUGGUGUCUAACACACACCAGGAGAAAAGGCGGGGCAAGACCGGUGCCAGCCGCCGCGGUAAUACCGGCUGCUCGAGUGAUAGCCACUUUUACUGGGCUUAAAGCGUUCGUAGCUUGGUCGUUAAGUCUCUGGGGUAAUCUUUUGGCUCAACCAAAAGGCGUCUCAGGGAAACUGGCGACCUAGGAACCGGGAGAGGUAAGACGUACUUCGGGGGUAGGAGUGAAAUCUUGUAAUCCCCGAGGGACGACCGAUGGCGAAGGCAUCUUACCAGAACGGCUUCGACAGUGAGGGACGAAAGCUGGGGGAGCAAACCGGAUUAGAUACCCGGGUAGUCCCAGCCGUAAACGAUGUGCGUUAGGUGUGUCAGCGACCACGAGUCGCUGAGGUGCCGAAGGGAAACCGUGAAACGCACCGCCUGGGAAGUACGGUCGCAAGGCUGAAACUUAAAGGAAUUGGCGGGGGAGCACCACAACGGGUGGAGCCUGUGGUUUAAUUGGAUUCAACGCCGGG
This 844-nucleotide ribosomal RNA is filed under the name uncultured archaeon. RNAcentral describes it as "bacterial SSU rRNA". It matches the Rfam family "Archaeal small subunit ribosomal RNA", at positions 73 to 922 of the family's 1478-position model. The record is from RNAcentral.